ACCUCUCAGUGACUCAAGAGAGAUUUGUUGAGUAUCUACCAAGUGCCUAGCGCUGUUCUUGUCCCUGGGGAUUCAGCCUCUGGAUUGGGACCUGCAGCCCAGAGAAGGGAAAUGGGGGAAAUCCAAGUUCCCAGGCACAUCAUGAUACCGUUCCAGCCUCUCCUUCCUGGAAAUCGCCAUCAUCAGCGGCCAUAGCACCCCCAUGGGACCUGGGGGAUGGAGUUGGAAGCCCCCUCCCGCAACACUGGCCAGAUUGGAGGGACCAGCAGGGAAGCUCCCUCCUACCCCCAGGGAAGCUGAAGCCAGCUCUCCAUGGCCGCGAAACCUGGAACCCAGGACCCUGGGAGGCAGGCCAGCACGGAGGGGAUUCAGCCAAUGACUGGGAAUUGAGUGAAAAACCAAAGAGGACAGCCAUGAGAUCUGUCUGCUACAG
Long non-coding RNA from Nomascus leucogenys (northern white-cheeked gibbon), 433 nucleotides. RefSeq lists it as uncharacterized. The record is from RefSeq and is a predicted model, not a curated record. NCBI's taxonomy places the organism in Eukaryota, Metazoa, Chordata, Mammalia, Primates, Hylobatidae. The transcript has 3 exons.